Molecule: ribosomal RNA, 405 nt
Filed under: uncultured bacterium
Lineage: Bacteria
Description: partial 16S ribosomal RNA
Rfam family: Bacterial small subunit ribosomal RNA
Source: RNAcentral
AUUGAACGCUGGCGGCAGGCCUAACACAUGCAAGUCGAACGAGAGGCGGACGGGCGAGCAAUGCUUGGGAAUCUGGCUUAUGGAGGGAGAUAACGACGGGAACCUGUCGAUACUACCGCUAACGAUAGGAUGAGCCCAAGUGGGAUUAGGUAGCUGGUGGGGUAUGGGCCUACCAAGCCGACGAUCUCUAGCUGGUCUGAGAGGAUGACCGGCCACACCGGGACUGAGACACGGCCCGGACUCCUACGGGAGGCAGCAGUGGGGAAUAUUGGGCAAUGGGGGCAACCUGACGCAGCCACGCCGCGUGAAUGAAGAAGGCCUUCGGGUUGUAAAGGUCUUUCGGUGACGAGGCGUUAAUCACAGAAGAAGCACCGGCUAACGCCGUGCCAGCAGCCGCGGUAAUUC